Vigna unguiculata (cowpea) is the source of this 325-nucleotide long non-coding RNA. RefSeq lists it as uncharacterized. NCBI's taxonomy places the organism in Eukaryota, Viridiplantae, Streptophyta, Magnoliopsida, Fabales, Fabaceae. The record is from RefSeq and is a predicted model, not a curated record.
UCUCUAACUUGCAAAACUAUUCUAAAAAUUCCUUCAAACACAGAUACACACCAAUGACAAGAGCUUCAGUCUUGUUUCCUUAUUUAAUGAUUUUAUUUCUCGUAAUAUUUACCAUAAGUUUUGUGAAUGGUUGUUACUACCCGUGCCAUGGCCUACAUGCUUGUGGUAAUCUGCACUGCCCUGGUUGCACCAAGCAAUGCGUCAACUUUUGCUGUCUCUGUACCUGUAGUGGAAAUGAAAAACCUCAAUUAAACGUAACAAUUUAAUGUCUUUCUUGUAAAAUUUAUCGGUAAUAAAUAAGAGAAGUUCAAUUCUUCUUCAUCAA